This 492-nucleotide ribosomal RNA is filed under the name uncultured bacterium. Its description in RNAcentral is "partial 16S ribosomal RNA". It matches the Rfam family "Bacterial small subunit ribosomal RNA", at positions 29 to 507 of the family's 1533-position model. The record is from RNAcentral.
AGUGAACGCUGGCGGUAGGCCUAACACAUGCAAGUCGAACGGCAGCACAGUAAGAGCUUGCUCUUACGGGUGGCGAGUGGCGGACGGGUGAGGAAUACAUCGGAAUCUACUUUUUCGUGGGGGAUAACGUAGGGAAACUUACGCUAAUACCGCAUACGACCUACGGGUGAAAGCAGGGGAUCUUCGGACCUUGCGCGAUUGAAUGAGCCGAUGUCGGAUUAGCUAGUUGGCGGGGUAAAGGCCCACCAAGGCGACGAUCCGUAGCUGGUCUGAGAGGAUGAUCAGCCACACUGGAGCUGAGACACGGUCCAGACUCCUACGAGAGGCAGCAGUGGGGAAUAUUGGACAAUGGGCGCAAGCCUGAUCCAGCCAUACCGCGUGGGUGAAGAAGGCGUUCGGGUUGUAAAGCCCUUUUGUUGGGAAAGAAAAGCAGCAGGUUAAUACCCCGCUGUUCUGACGGUACCCAAAGAAUAAGCACCGGCUAACUUCGUG